RNAcentral lists this non-coding RNA (227 nucleotides) under Paenibacillus uliginis. RNAcentral's name for it is "T-box sequence". It matches the Rfam family "T-box leader". Rfam says of the family: Uncharged tRNA acts as the effector for transcription antitermination of genes in the T-box leader family. T-boxes are found upstream of many aminoacyl-tRNA synthetase genes and some amino acid biosynthetic genes usually in Gram-positive bacteria. The record is from RNAcentral. Lineage: Bacteria; Bacillati; Bacillota; Bacilli; Caryophanales; Paenibacillaceae.
CUAAAACCGAUGAUGGAAAAAAGACGCUUCAUACGUCUCCAGAGAGCCGAUGGUAGGUGCAAAUCGGCGACGUAAAGUGUGCUUGAGCGAUCCUGAGAUAUUUCGCUGAAUUUCAGUAGGCGUAAUCGGAUGAUAUCCGUUACCAAUCAUGGCCUGGAAAGGCCGUUUGAGGCUGCCUGUUAUGGCAGUGAAUAAGGGUGGUACCACGAAUAAUUCUCGUCCCUUAC